Long non-coding RNA from Vespa velutina, 955 nucleotides. RefSeq lists it as uncharacterized. NCBI's taxonomy places the organism in Eukaryota, Metazoa, Arthropoda, Insecta, Hymenoptera, Vespidae. The transcript is spliced from 2 exons. The record is from RefSeq and is a predicted model, not a curated record.
UUUCGUUUUCUUCUUGUUCGACCGAUGUCUCCGUAGACAAUGACGGAAAUUCACGUCGAACACGGCGUAUCACCGAUGUACCACGAGCUUGAGUUUCCGGACUCGACCCACCAGUACUUCGCCGGCUCCCACUUGUUCUGAUCGUCUCUGCCGUCUCCUCGACGACAACUUUAUUCCCUGACGCUUCCAUCGUGGCGCUAGCCGUGUUCACUGACGAUGAUGAUGGCCUGUAAGAACGUGUAUAACGAUAACGUAUUGCUCAAAGAAAAUAAACAAAGAAGAAAAAAAAGAAACGAAAAAAAAAAGAAAAGGAAUAAACGGAAAAGUUUUUUUUUUUUUUUUAUGUUACCACGCCUAUGAGAAAACAUUCAUUUCGAGAGUUAACUUUUAAAAGGAUAGCAAUAAUGAAAUUGCCUAUUUCGUGAGCGUGAAUCGACUCAACGAUGUUUUUACUAUAUGGCUUCGUCUAUGGCUCCUUAUAGCUUUCAACGAAAACUCGUAAAUAAGGCUACGCUUCCAGCUUCCAGUCGGUUGCACGUUAACGAGCUUGCGAGUAUAUCGUUAAACGUGUUAUCGAUAAGAAGAAGAAAAAGAAAAAGAAGAAGAAGAAGAAGAAGAAGAAAGAAAAAAAUGAAACGAUGGGAAAAAAGAAAACAAACAACAGUAUAAAAAUAAAAUAAUCAGUAGUCUCUCAUAAACAUAGAAUAAUUUGUAGUUCCUUGUAGGAAUUAAUUAUACUUUUUUUUUUGUUGUUGUUCGUUUCUCUUUUUUUUUUUUUUUUCAUUCUUCCUUUCUUUCUUCGUUCGAAAAAAGUAUAUAAUAUUUGUUGAAAAAUUAAUUGCUCAAGUGAACCAGAAAUUUUUUUAAAUACAUACCACAUUUAUGGAUAUCGAUUGUGUAUAACCUAUUUUUACUUUGGUUUAUUACACCGAUAAAAGUCAAUAUAUAAAUUGUU